CAGGCGAGUGGAGGAAGGCACUGCCCAACGUCGAGUUGGGAGCUGAGAAAUGCAGGAUUCAACAGUUUUCUGAUCGAGCUCUUGAGCCACUUGGUUGGGUUAAAUAUCCACAGGUAUUGGCGUUAUAUUUUGGCGCUUAUUAUUCUGAAAAGCAAUGCCGGCAUUGCAUUUUCUACAAUCUUGAUACGCAUCAACUCGACUCCAUAGAACUACCACAUUCCUAUAGUAGAGAUUAUGAUGCUUUUCCGCAUAAGAAUAAUCUGAUAUGGCUAAGUUAAAAGAGUAUUAGAAUUGUUAUUGUUUAUAUUUGGUUUAGUUAAAACAGUUCGUAUAUAGAUUAUUUGCAGAUAUUUUGAUGUUGGUUUAGUAUAUUGAAGGAUGAUAUAUAUAACUUUUUCUAGAGAAUGUUUAUGAUCACUUUGAAUGGAUUGUGACCUCACAAUCACAUUGCUAUUCCAUUGCAAA
Molecule: long non-coding RNA, 465 nt
Filed under: Salvia miltiorrhiza (redroot sage)
Lineage: Eukaryota; Viridiplantae; Streptophyta; Magnoliopsida; Lamiales; Lamiaceae
Description: long non-coding RNA (SMIL_LNC000084)
Source: RNAcentral